UACUGUUGAGAAAGACUUUCUGUACGUGGCAGAAGGUAAGUCUCGUCUAGCAUCAAAAAUAGAACUAUCAGACAAGACAAAGGCACUCGGUGGAAAACUAAAACAUUUUGGAGCCUUCUCUAACUAA
Molecule: transfer RNA, 127 nt
Filed under: Listeria phage 20422-1
Lineage: Duplodnaviria; Heunggongvirae; Uroviricota; Caudoviricetes; Herelleviridae
Description: partial tRNA-Met
Source: RNAcentral